AGCACAGACUGCUUAUUAUGGUAUUGUUUAUACUUAUUAUGUUGGAGACCAUCAGCAAAGUUUCUAUUCACUAACAUAUGAUUUUAAGCUGGGCUACAGUUCAUGUCUGUACUUCAACUCUUCAAAUUGUUCUGGAAACUGUACUGGGCUUACAUCUCAUGCAAUUGAUGAAAGCAGAGAUGAGUGGUGUCAGAGAGGACAUGUUGUGGCUUACUACACUUCAUAUCAGACUGUAUACAAUGAAUUGUUUCCUAAUGCAAAUUGGACAGAAAACAGAAAUGGUGUAAGAUUAUCUUUAAUACCGUUGCUUUUUGACUUGAGAAACCGCUCUGAUAUCAACAAACCAAACUCCUCACCGCAGACCACCAUCAUCCCUCUUUUACG
Molecule: long non-coding RNA, 384 nt
Organism: Cyprinodon tularosa
Lineage: Eukaryota; Metazoa; Chordata; Actinopteri; Cyprinodontiformes; Cyprinodontidae
Exons: 3
Source: RefSeq, a predicted model, not a curated record